RNAcentral lists this long non-coding RNA (1060 nucleotides) under Dasypus novemcinctus (nine-banded armadillo). RNAcentral's name for it is "lncRNA (ENSDNOG00000052235.1)". The record is from RNAcentral. Lineage: Eukaryota; Metazoa; Chordata; Mammalia; Cingulata; Dasypodidae.
UCCAGGACGCUCUUCUCCCCACAGCCUCGGCUCAGAAACGCCUCCCCUGCCACCCCCACCCCAACCUAGAAUCACCAGUCCACUUUAAAAACCCGGAUUUAAUUUUCCCAGCAGCAUUUCUCUCUACCUGGACUGUAUCUUACCUUUUUCCUGGUUGACCCCCGAGGGCAGGAACUUGUGCCUGUCACUGCUGUUGCCCCCACACCUACAGCAGCGCCUGCCACCCAGUAGGUGCUCUGUAAAUGUUUGCCAAACAAGCGGAUGAGUGAUGUAUUGAGCACUUACUGUGUGCCAGGCCCUGCGGCGAGCACUUCAUGUACAUCUGCUCUUUAAUCCUCCCAAUGGCCCCACGAGGAAGGGUACUUGUAUCACCCCCCUUUUCCAGAAGGUCACGGAGGCAGAGGACCUGGAGCCGGGACCUGUGCCUGCAUCUUCAAUGGCAGUGACACUGGCCAGACGUCACGUUGGGGGCCCGUCUCCGCCAGGUCUGCUUAAAUCCUGCCCCGUGGUGCGUCCCCAGCUUCCUUCUAUUACCCUUGAGAGACUCCGUGCCCACGUGUGAGAACCCCACCCAGCCUCAAGUUCAGAGCAGCAAAUGGAGCCUCAGCCGGGGCUGCCCCAGCUGCACGGCCACAGCUGGUAAACGCACUGCCGAGCUCGGAAUUUGCCUUUCUCUGACCCCAAAGCCUCCACCAUCGGCCCAUUUGACUGGAAAACGAGGCCUCAAGGGGGAAGAGAGAAAAUGUGGAUUCUUACCCACAAGCAGAGCCCUGGAGAAAGCACGCAGCCACCCCAGCUUCCUUCCUGCAAGGAGCUGCCCGGCGGUGCCCACGUGCAGCAGAGCUGCCCUCCCUCUGCAGCAUGCCGGGGCUCCUGGCUCACACCUUCCCUCUCUCUACCUGGCGGCAGGGGUCCCCCCUCCCCGCUCUGAGCCCAGGCGGGGCCGAGGGGCAGUGGGGCGCCAUCCUCGCUCACCACAGAAGGUCCAAAACCCCCCUGAGCCCGGCGGGAACUUGGGCACGCCGUGGCGCCUGCCCGGUGCCUCCAUGUCCCCCUUGGC